GACGAACCGAGCGAACGUUGUUCGGAAUCACUGGGCUUAAAGAGCGCGCAGGCGGUCGUCCAAGUCGCGUGUGAAAGCCCCCGGCUCAACUGGGGAGGGUCACGCGAUACUGGUCGACUCGAAGGCAGGAGAGGGUAGUGGAAUUCCCGGUGUAGUGGUGAAAUGCGUAGAUAUCGGGAGGAACACCAGUGGCGAAGGCGACUACCUGGCCUGUUCUUGACGCUGAGGCGCGAAAGCUAGGGGAGCAAACGGG
RNAcentral lists this ribosomal RNA (253 nucleotides) under uncultured bacterium. RNAcentral describes it as "partial 16S ribosomal RNA". It matches the Rfam family "Bacterial small subunit ribosomal RNA", at positions 524 to 776 of the family's 1533-position model. The record is from RNAcentral.